UCUCGUAGUUUUUUCUUUUUCCCAAAGGUAUAUAUAUAUAUAGUUAGCAUAUUAGUGGAAAUGAGAUAUUAUAUAUAUAUAUAAUUCAGAAAAGAAAACCCAUCAUUUAAAGAGUAGAAUUCUGUAAUAUGAAAUUUGCUAAAGUGUAAUGGUUCAUUUCUAGAGGUCCUUACUCAGUAUGCUUAACGUGAUUACUAUCUGGAAUAUGAUUUGCAUAUUUAUGUGUAUUUUGUGCAUGUAGGCUAGAUUACAGAAAUUUCACCUUAUAAAAGUAUGAUUAUACUUAUUGUUCGAUUCUUAUAGGCUAGAAAUAUCACCUCAUAUCAAUUUGAAUAUACCAUUUCUUUUUCUUGGGCAUAUAAUUAUAGGUUAAAAAUUUAUACCAAACUAUAACUUAGUUCAUAAGUACUGUAUUGUUUUCUUUCUCCUGUAGAAACCAGUAUGGGCAUAUGACAAUUUCAAGUUUUAACAGAACAAUUCUAAUAAAUUAUUAAGGUUUUAGCCUAUAAACAAACGUCGCCGUGGCCCAUAACUUGACAGCCCAAUUAAUAAAUUGGAAGGCCGACUAGACCAUUACAUGGGAAUUACUUCCUUCUUCUUCCGUCAGAAACCGGUGGCUCUGUAACUCAUAAUGAAUAAGAAAUUCGGGGCAGGGAAACAGCCAACUGGCACUCCUUCACUGGGCUGGUCAUGCGUUGUCGUCGUCGUUUCACUUCUUGCUGGCGCCUCCGUUGUUCAUAAUAUUUAUAAACCUGACCUUACAUUGCCUCCGGCGGAUAUCAUUGAUGCUGCAAAUAAGAAGCGUGAUGAAACUGGGAAAGAUUGAAUCCUCCUUUUCUUUUUUGGCGGAUACAUACGACAGACUGAAUUGAUUUCUAUUUUUAGAGUGUUUUCUUGGCAGGUUUCUGCUUUGUUGCUCGUUUUCUGUUAAAUAUGUGAUUUAAUUAUUCGAGGAUUUUCUUGCUUUUGGCUUUGGAUUCACAAUAAUUAGUUUUGAAUUUGAAAUAAUGUUCAAGACUCCUUGUAAAUUACAUUCAGGUCUUUAACUCGCAACGUAACAAGAGAAAGAGUAUUUUAAGUGGAAUGCGUUUCUACAAUACAGAAAUAGUUACUAUCUCAAUGGUCAUUUAAAAGUAAAUCAUCCAGCAAUUUUAUUAAAAAGUCUUACUGUAUAAGAUAAAGAAAUGAGCAUCUAGGGUUUAUAUAAGGACAUUCUCACCUAUUUACAUGUGCAAAGUAGCAGCUUGAGGCAACCAGCAGCAAUGUAAGACCAGUAAGAAACCCUAACCACAUCCAUGCACAGGAGAUGUACAGGACUUAAAAACAGUUUCCGGACAAUGCUUCUUCUAGUACAGUAUCCGUACUGCACCACUUUGCUUGUAGAAGGAAUGGAGGAUAGUAGCAUUGGAAAAACAACAUAAAGAGUCUCCAGAUAUUUGUAAAAAGAUGACCAAGGAGAGCUAUCUACCAAGAAGAAUAUUCACCUGUAUCUGUAAGCCCUGGAUAAUUCAUCUGGUGAGACAAUAAGCAAUUACUCCACAUCAUCCUGCUAUCCCCGAAUGCA
Molecule: long non-coding RNA, 1564 nt
Organism: Ricinus communis (castor bean)
Lineage: Eukaryota; Viridiplantae; Streptophyta; Magnoliopsida; Malpighiales; Euphorbiaceae
Exons: 3
Source: RefSeq, a predicted model, not a curated record